This is a non-coding RNA of Peromyscus californicus insignis, 471 nucleotides long. NCBI's taxonomy places the organism in Eukaryota, Metazoa, Chordata, Mammalia, Rodentia, Cricetidae. The record is from the annotation of a RefSeq genome assembly.
AUGAAGACAUUUGUUCCUACUUUAUUCAUGUUCUUGUGGCUGCAUCUGGAUGGGGUGAGCCAAGGUGAACAGGUGGAGCAGCAUCCUUCCACCCUGAGAGUCCAGGAGGAAGCCAGCGCAGUCAUCAAUUGCACUUACACAGACAGUGCCUCGUUCUACUUCCCUUGGUAUAAGCAAGGACCUGGAGGGCAUCCUCAGCUCAUUAUUGACAUUCGUUCAACUGUGGAAAGAAAGCAGGAGCAAAGACUGAUCGUUUUACAGGAUAAGAAAACCAAACACUUCUCCCUGCACAUCACAGACACCCGGCCUGGAGACUCUGCCCUGUACUUCUGUGCUGCAAGUGCACACUGCUCCACAGGCACCUGCAGCCUGUCCUCAAACCUGCCACGGGGCCUGGAGCCCUGUCCACAUCCUGUGUCACAGGUCUUCCAGUACAUUUGCUAUUUGUUAGUUGGCAAGUGCCAACUGUAG